CUCCUCCACCUGGUUUCUCUCUCAUUCCUGUGUUGUCAUCUGUUGGAUCAGUCUCUUUUGUGGUUUUACUGGUGUUACUGGUUCUGCUGGUGAGACGAUGUGUUCACAGGAAACCUGAAGAUCAAGAAAAAGGUAGACGUGGUAACACUGUAACUGAAGAUGACAUCAUGUACAGUGACAUUAAAAUAUCACAUCAUCAUCAUCAAGAGCCAAUCAGUCAAAUCAGAGACAGUGACCCAGCUGCUGUUUACUCUGCAGUGAGAACUGGAGACGUCACUUAUGGACAAAUCAUCAUCAAAGACAAGAAGAAAAACUCAAAGAUGAGAGACUUUAAACCAGAGCGAGACGUCGUCUACUCUUCACUGAAGUAACUAACUGGUCCCUCCAGCACCUCAGACCAGAGGACAUCUACAUGUUACAGAUUUCUAUAUGUUUUAUGUCUUUUUAUUACUAAAUUAGACUGAAUUAGAACUACUUACUGGAAGUCAGUUCAUUGACUUGAUAAUGUUGACUUUGUUCUCUGCCUGUAAUCAGUUUUA
Long non-coding RNA from Oreochromis niloticus (Nile tilapia), 539 nucleotides. RefSeq lists it as uncharacterized. The transcript is spliced from 4 exons. Lineage: Eukaryota; Metazoa; Chordata; Actinopteri; Cichliformes; Cichlidae. The record is from RefSeq and is a predicted model, not a curated record.